UUUUUUGAAGAGUUUGAUUCUGGCUCAGGACGAACGUUGGCGGUGUGUCUAAGGCAUGCAAGUCGAACGAGAUCGCUUUCUUCGGAAAGCAUUAUAUCUAGUGGCAGACGGCUGAGUAACGCGUAAGUAACUUACCCUAGAGUGGGGAAUAACACAGAGAAAUCUGUGCUAAUACCGCAUACGAUUUAUUGAUAAUUUCUAUAAAUGAAAGAUUUAUCGCUCUUGGAUGGGCUUGCGUCCUAUCAGGUAGUUGGCGGGGUAAUGGCCCACCAAGCCUAAGACGGGUAGCUGGUGUGAGAGCACGACCAGCCAGAGGGGGACUGAGACACGGCCCCCACUCCUACGGGAGGCAGCAGCAGGGAAUCU
RNAcentral lists this ribosomal RNA (366 nucleotides) under SAR202 cluster bacterium. Its description in RNAcentral is "bacterial SSU rRNA". It matches the Rfam family "Bacterial small subunit ribosomal RNA", at positions 1 to 364 of the family's 1533-position model. Lineage: Bacteria; Bacillati; Chloroflexota; Dehalococcoidia. The record is from RNAcentral.